This 332-nucleotide unclassified non-coding RNA is filed under the name soil metagenome. Its description in RNAcentral is "partial contains 5.8S ribosomal RNA, internal transcribed spacer 2, and large subunit ribosomal RNA". The stretch from base 1 to 120 matches the Rfam family "5.8S ribosomal RNA", at positions 35 to 154 of the family's 154-position model. The record is from RNAcentral.
GAUGAAGAACGCAGCGAAAUGCGAUAAGUAGUGUGAAUUGCAGAAUUCAGUGAAUCAUCGAAUCUUUGAACGCACAUUGCGCCCUUUGGUAUUCCUUAGGGCAUGCCUGUUCGAGCGUCAUUUAAACCUUCAAGCUAAGCUUGGUGUUGGGUGACUGUCCGCUUCACGGCGGACUCGCCUCAAAAUUAUUGGCGGCCGGUACAUUGGCUUCGAGCGCAGCAGAAACGCGAACUCGGGCCCGUCGUAUUGUCUCCCAGAAGCUAUCUUCACAAUUUUGACCUCGGAUCAGGUAGGGAUACCCGCUGAACUUAAGCAUAUCAAUAAGCGGAGGA